UACGAAGGGGGCUAGCGUUGCUCGGAAUCACUGGGCGUAAAGGGUGCGUAGGCGGGUCUUUAAGUCAGGGGUGAAAUCCUGGAGCUCAACUCCAGAACUGCCUUUGAUACUGAAGAUCUUGAGUUCGGGAGAGGUGAGUGGAACUGCGAGUGUAGAGGUGAAAUUCGUAGAUAUUCGGUGGAACACCAGUGGCGAAGGCGACUCGCUGGACUGAUACUGACGCUGAGGUGCGAAAGCGUGGGGAGCAAACAGG
RNAcentral lists this ribosomal RNA (253 nucleotides) under uncultured bacterium. RNAcentral's name for it is "partial 16S ribosomal RNA". It matches the Rfam family "Bacterial small subunit ribosomal RNA", at positions 524 to 776 of the family's 1533-position model. The record is from RNAcentral.